RNAcentral lists this ribosomal RNA (432 nucleotides) under uncultured bacterium. RNAcentral describes it as "partial 16S ribosomal RNA". It matches the Rfam family "Bacterial small subunit ribosomal RNA", at positions 29 to 506 of the family's 1533-position model. The record is from RNAcentral.
AACGAACGCUGGCGGCAUGCCUAACACAUGCAAGUCGAACGAGACCUUCGGGUCUAGUGGCGCACGGGUUCGUAACGCGUGGGAACCUGCCCUUAGGUUCGGAAUAACUCCCCGAAAGGGGUGCUAAUACCGGAUAAUGUCUUCGGACCAAAGAUUUAUCGCCUUUGGAUGGGCCCGCGUUGGAUUAGCUUGUUGGUAGGGUAAAAGCCUACCAAGGCGACGAUCCAUAGCUGGUCUGAGAGGAUGAUCAGCCACACUGGGACUGAGACACGGCCCAGACUCCUACGGGAGGCAGCAGUGGGGAAUAAUGGACGAUGGGCGAAAGCCUGAUCCAGCAAUGCCGCGUGAGUGAUGAAGGCCUUAGGGUUGUAAAGCUCUUUUACCCGGGAUGAUAAUGACAGUACCGGGAGAAGAAGCUCCGGCUAACUCCGU